UACGUAGGGGGCAAGCGUUGUCCGGAUUUAUUGGGCGUAAAGAGCUCGUAGGCGGCUUGUUGCGUCGACUGUGAAAACCUGCGGCUCAACCGUGUGGUCUGCAGUCGAUACGGGCAGGCUGGAGUUCGGUAGGGGAGUGGGGAAUUCCUAGUGUAGCGGUGAAAUGCGCAGAUAUUAGGAGGAACACCGGUGGCGAAGGCGCCACUCUGGGCCGAAACUGACGCUGAGGAGCGAAAGCAUGGGUAGCAAACAGG
RNAcentral lists this ribosomal RNA (254 nucleotides) under uncultured bacterium. RNAcentral's name for it is "partial 16S ribosomal RNA". It matches the Rfam family "Bacterial small subunit ribosomal RNA", at positions 524 to 776 of the family's 1533-position model. The record is from RNAcentral.